RNAcentral lists this long non-coding RNA (261 nucleotides) under Elaeis guineensis (African oil palm). RNAcentral's name for it is "long non-coding RNA (EGUI_LNC062880)". Lineage: Eukaryota; Viridiplantae; Streptophyta; Magnoliopsida; Arecales; Arecaceae. The record is from RNAcentral.
GGUUUUGAUGGCUUAGAAUCUUAAAAAAUCUCUAAGUAUUUGUAAUAGAUAAUUAUUUGACUUCGAUCAGAUGAAUCAUAAAAAAACAUUACUUGACCUUGGUUGAGUUAAUCAUAAAGCCAAUGUGCCAUAACUUAACAACUUAAGUCAUUGAUAUAACCUGAUCUUUAAUAAUCAAAUCGAUUAACUAGAAGAAAUUCAAAUCUAAUGACUAAAAUAUUCAUAAUAAAGGUUUAAGAAUUACCUCUUGAAUUUGGAAUG